Molecule: ribosomal RNA, 253 nt
Filed under: uncultured bacterium
Lineage: Bacteria
Description: partial 16S ribosomal RNA
Rfam family: Bacterial small subunit ribosomal RNA
Source: RNAcentral
UACGGAGGGGGCAAGCGUUGUUCGGAAUUACUGGGCGUAAAGGGCGCGUAGGCGGCCUGUUGCGUCAGGUGUGAAAGCCCCGGGCUCAAACUGGGAUGUGCACUUGAUACGGGCGGGCUGGAAUCCGGGAGAGGAUGGUGGAAUUCCCAGUGUAGAGGUGAAAUUCGUAGAUAUUGGGAAGAACACCGAUGGCGAAGGCAGCCAUCUGGACCGGCAUUGACGCUGAGGCGCGAAAGCGUGGGGAGCAAACAGG